GGAGUAUAAUUUGAGCAAUCUUAGAAAUAUGAAAGGAAAUUGAUGUCCUUUAAGCUCCAUGAAAAUAGUUGAAUACUACUAGUGGAACCAUAAUAUAAAGUUUGUCAAAGUUUUUCUUUUUUGACUAUGUAAAAACUUGUUAAAGUUGAGUCACUUCCCUGGGAUGAUGAAACCAAGUCGUAAACACCAGAUAUCAUGACGUCGCAUCUGUUUCUAAUUCCUUCUAUUAAGAGUAACAGAGAAAACAGAGCAUGACUACAUAAAGUUUCCCAUGAAUUGAAGUUAGAAAGAAAGGAGUAAAAAAUAUUAUUUUCGUACCAUUAAUCCUAAAUUAUACAUCAUAAACUUAGAGCGCAAGACAAAAUCUCCAAAGGCCAUAAACUUUAGAUUUGAUCCCCAAAAUACUACUUUGAAGGAGCGAGAUGUGCAAUACCAUAGAACUCGCCUAUUGUCAAGCAGAGGAGAUCCAUAAUGAGAGACUAAUAACGGCAUUAGACUCCUACUUAGUGCUCAAAUUAAGUUUCUAUCCAAUUCCUUCCAGCAAAAAAGAAACAAGCCCAGAAACCGAAAAGUCUAAAUAAACAACACAAAUUUACCAACUAGUGAAGUUUGAGAAUAACUACUUGUAUCAUAUGUAGUUCACCUAGUAUAAAUGGCAUGGUCUUGAGACCCCCCUGCUUCCUCUCCUUUUCUCUUCCAUCCUCAGCCAUUGCUCACAGAUAGAACUGUCCAACCUCCCCAAAUAGAAGAGUAGCAAUGCUUAAGGCCUUGGCCAAUGUAUGACUCUCCUUACCUUG
RNAcentral lists this long non-coding RNA (797 nucleotides) under Phoenix dactylifera (date palm). Its description in RNAcentral is "long non-coding RNA (PDAC_LNC011083)". The record is from RNAcentral. Lineage: Eukaryota; Viridiplantae; Streptophyta; Magnoliopsida; Arecales; Arecaceae.